RNAcentral lists this ribosomal RNA (802 nucleotides) under Acaulospora koskei. Its description in RNAcentral is "SSU rRNA". It matches the Rfam family "Eukaryotic small subunit ribosomal RNA", at positions 314 to 1115 of the family's 1831-position model. Lineage: Eukaryota; Fungi; Glomeromycota; Glomeromycetes; Diversisporales; Acaulosporaceae. The record is from RNAcentral.
AUCAACUUUCGAUGGUAGGAUAGAGGACUACAAUGGACUUAACGGGUAACGGGGAAUUAGGGUUCGAUUCCGGAGAGGGAGCCUGAGAAACGGCUACCACAUCCAAGGAAGGCAGCAGGCGCGCAAAUUACCCAAUCCCAACACGGGGAGGUAGUGACAAUAAAUAACAAUAUGGGGCCUUUACGGGUCUCGUAAUUGGAAUGAGUACAAUUUAAAUCUCUUAACGAGGAACAAUUGGAGGGCAAGUCUGGUGCCAGCAGCCGCGGUAAUUCCAGCUCCAAUAGCGUAUAUUAAAGUUGUUGCAGUUAAAAAGCUCGUAGUUGAAUUUCGGGAUCUAUCCGUCGGUCGGGCCUCACGGUCCGCACUGGUGUGAUGGAUUCCUACCUUCUGAACAACCGGUAUGCCAUUAAUUUGAUGUGCCGGGGAAGCAGAACCAUUACCUUGAAAAAAUUAGAGUGCUCAAAGCAGGCUUGUGCCUGAAUACAUUAGCAUGGAAUAAUAAAAUAGGACGGCAUGGUUCUAUUUUGUUGGUUUCUAGGAUCACCGUAAUGAUUAAUAGGGAUAGUUGGGGGCAUUAGUAUUCAAUUGUCAGAGGUGAAAUUCUUGGAUUUAUUGAAGACUAACUUCUGCGAAAGCAUUUGCCAAGGAUGUUUUCAUUAAUCAAGAACGAAAGUUAGGGGAUCGAAGACGAUCAGAUACCGUCGUAGUCUUAACCAUAAACUAUGCCGACUAGGGAUCGGACGAUGUUAAUUUUUUAAUGACUCGUCCCGCGCCCGACGGGAAACCAAAGUGUUUGGGUUCA